GACGUAGGGCGCGAGCGUUGUCCGGAUUUAUUGGGCGUAAAGAGCUCGUAGGCGGCUUGUCGCGUCGACUGUGAAAACCCGUGGCUCAACCAUGUGGUCUGCAGUCGAUACGGGCAGGCUAGAAUUCGGUAGGGGAGACUGGAAUUCCUGGUGUAGCGGUGAAAUGCGCAGAUAUCAGGAGGAACACCAGCGGCGAAGGCGGCGCUCUGGGCCGGUACUGACACUGAGGAGCGAAAGCGUGGGUAGCAAACAGG
Molecule: ribosomal RNA, 254 nt
Filed under: uncultured bacterium
Lineage: Bacteria
Description: partial 16S ribosomal RNA
Rfam family: Bacterial small subunit ribosomal RNA
Source: RNAcentral